CAAUAGCGUAUAUUAAAGUUGUUGCAGUUAAAAAGCUCGUAGUUGGAUUUCUGGUGGGAGCGAUCGGUCUGGCGCUUAGCGCGAGUACUUGCAUCGUCUCCGGCCAUCCUUGGGGAGAGUCGGUCUGGCAUUAAGUUGUCGGGCAGAGGAUCCUCAUCGUUUACUGUGAAAAAAUUAGAGUGUUCAAAGCAGGCUUAUGCCGUUGAAUAUAUUAGCAUGGAAUAAUAAGAUAGGACUUUGGUACUAUUUUGUUGGUUUGCGCACCAAAGUAAUGAUUAAUAGGGACAGUUGGGGGUAUUCGUAUUCCGUUGUCAGAGGUGAAAUUCUUGGAUUUACGGAAGACGAACUACUGCGAAAGCAUUUACCAAGGAUGUUUUCAUUAA
RNAcentral lists this ribosomal RNA (383 nucleotides) under uncultured eukaryote. RNAcentral describes it as "partial 18S ribosomal RNA". It matches the Rfam family "Eukaryotic small subunit ribosomal RNA", at positions 592 to 976 of the family's 1831-position model. The record is from RNAcentral.